Molecule: ribosomal RNA, 253 nt
Filed under: uncultured bacterium
Lineage: Bacteria
Description: partial 16S ribosomal RNA
Rfam family: Bacterial small subunit ribosomal RNA
Source: RNAcentral
UACGGGGGGGGCAAGCGUUGUUCGGAAUUACUGGGCGUAAAGGGCUCGUAGGUGGCCAACUAAGUCAGACGUGAAAUCCCUCGGCUUAACCGGGGAACUGCGUCUGAUACUGGAUGGCUUGAGGUUGGGAGAGGGAUGCGGAAUUCCAGGUGUAGCGGUGAAAUGCGUAGAUAUCUGGAGGAAUACCGGUGGCGAAGGCGGCAUCCUGGACCGACAUUGACGCUGAUGAGCGAAAGCUAGGGGAGCAAACGGG